AACACCUAUAUUUAACCCUACUUAGGUUACGACUGUUGCUUCUUCGGCUUUCACGAUGAGUUUUUUUCGUAAAUCGAAAGAAGAGUUUGACCGUUAGUUUGCUUUUCCCUUACGUCUCAAUAACCACUUUUUAAUUUAAGUUUCAUCGCCCGUGAAAAUGAAAGGAGUGAUGUAUGACUCAAGACAAAUUUAAAAUUGCUCUUUUUUAGUGCAAACUAACCAUUUGUCGAAUCUCUAAAUGUUGAUCGGCCAAUAUUAUUUACAUUUACUUGUGAGUCUAUUUUGUUAGGCCUCGAUCUUCAAAGCCUCUCGACACUCGUAAGUGAGGCGGACCAAAGUGGCCGGGUAUUCUGCUGUUUAGCCAGGAUUGAAGCACUCAUACUUGUUUAGUAUCUCACAAAAACUGUAAGGAAUAAGAAAAAUUUGCGGGGUUUGAUGAGGACUAAAUUCAUUAUUUUCAAUCAAUGCUAAGACGAAUGUAACGCAAGGGUUGUGUUCCUCUGUUCUUUUGCUGUAAGGACGCUAGCACUUCGUGAGUUCUAAUUUCUGAUUGGGCAGCAUUGACUUCUAGUUCUUUGAUCUUGUUUCUUCAGCAAGAGCUCAAAAGCCAGAUUGUGUUUUCCCUUGUGAGUAAACUGUAGCCUAGUUUUUCAUAAGAUUGGAAAAUGUACUGGCAAGAAAACAUAUAUAUUACAGUUGUUAUACACACAGUUGCCUCUAAAGUAGCAAAGCUGAAAGAGGCUUUAAGUCAUUGAGAGCUUGAACCUUUAGGAGUUAAGCAAAAAUAGGGGGAAACAGGGGGGAAAAUUAGUGGUCACUGCUAUUCACCUGUGGCAAGAGGACAGUUGACUAAGAUAUUGUACACCUAAUUCACAACAUACUUAUAGCAGUUGUUGCAUGUACUCUGACUCAAAGGUUAAAUUGACUCUUGGUGAUUCAUACCUUCCCUGGGAGUUCAAGUUAUUUGGAGUUGAGCAAAUAAUUGAAAGUAAGUGAGAAAUUAGUGUCCAGUGUCAUUCAUGGGCACAGUUUGUUAUAUUUCUAAAUGAUGUUGUGAAUUGGAAUAUAAUCACAUUAAAACAAAGGAAACCACCAAGAGAAGUCCAAGUGCUGUCAUGUAAAUUUGAUGGGUUUCAGAAAGAUAAAUUGAAUGUCGAAUUACUGCUACAGAGUUCAUGCCACUUUCACAGCUGCUUAAGUUCAGUAUUUUGGGUUGUAGAAGUACUGAAUUGUAUUUGAUGAGCAUGAUGAGAAAUUUUUGUUCAAGUUAUCAAUAGUCAACUUGUAUUCAAAUAUGACCUUAAGGGAGACAAAAACUCUUCCUGCCUUGGGCCAUUUUUCUUAUCUGAUCCAUGACAGUGAAAGUAUGCCUUACCUUCUAUUGCUUUACAAGCAUAGUAUUUCACACAGUAUGUUAAGUAAGUAAAUCAAUGAAAAUUACAUUUUGUUGCUGUUAUUAAAUUGCAACAGAUUUACUGUUGCUGUGAAAAAUUGGUUCAGGAAGGAGCAAUAAAACAUUGAAUUGUAUCCUAGUUACUUUAUUACCCCUGGUAAUUGGUUACCCAAUUAAUCCAAUUUUGUUCAUUUAAAGUUGGAAGUGACUGAUCUUGAUGUUAAACUUUACUGAUAGCCUGGAUACCUGCAAGAUUCUUUGCCAAAACUAUUGAAGGAUUUUCUCCCAAGGAAAAUGUAUGCACUUAAUCAAUAAGGUAAUAUUGAAUUUGGGGAUAGAAGAAUGCCGUGAGACUGACUGUAAUUCUGAGGAAGAAAGCCAACAAGUCAGCUCUGUAAAGAGUGCAGCCAAAGAGUUGAACUUGGGGACAAUAAAGAAACAAUUAACUGAGUAGCAUGGUGGAAAUCUUGAAGCACCAGAUCACAAAUCCUUUAGCCCAACAACUUCAUCACCCUCUACAAUUGUUGAAAAAAAGAGAUGAUAAACUUGUGAGUGUAAGCUUGAUGACUGAAGUGAAAGAGUACAGUGAAGCUUUUUACAUCAAACAUCCAAAAAGGAGUUGAACCUGGGACUCAAUUAAAAUGAGCCAAAAGUUCGAUUGGGCUACUCCUGUGCCAUUAGAAACUUCAAAUAAGCAAUGGAUGCACCCUCAAAUCUAAUGAUAUUUAUCUGAAGGACACACAUUUCUUAGCUCUCAAUGUUUUAGACUUGAAUAUGAUGUUAUUAAAAUGAAAUUUGCCAAAUAAGGUAUCUAAGUAUAGAGCGGACAUUUUACCUGAACUGUACACCCCACCCUCCAUGGGUAUAGUAAUUCACUUUGGUGGCAAAAUGCUGAUCUUUUACUCCUGUAAGAAAAAAAAGUGUUUUCUUUGCCAACUUCUGGCUAAAGAAAGAAAACAAGAAGA
Long non-coding RNA from Pocillopora damicornis (cauliflower coral), 2358 nucleotides. The record is from RefSeq and is a predicted model, not a curated record. NCBI's taxonomy places the organism in Eukaryota, Metazoa, Cnidaria, Anthozoa, Scleractinia, Pocilloporidae.